CAUUUGGCUUUCUUCAAAGCCAAACACAGAACUGAAACAGUCUAU
This is a non-coding RNA of Acanthisitta chloris (rifleman), 45 nucleotides long. Lineage: Eukaryota; Metazoa; Chordata; Aves; Passeriformes; Acanthisittidae. The record is from Rfam.